RNAcentral lists this ribosomal RNA (433 nucleotides) under uncultured bacterium. Its description in RNAcentral is "partial 16S ribosomal RNA". It matches the Rfam family "Bacterial small subunit ribosomal RNA", at positions 29 to 507 of the family's 1533-position model. The record is from RNAcentral.
AACGAACGCUGGCGGCAUGCCUAACACAUGCAAGUCGAACGAGACCUUCGGGUCUAGUGGCGCACGGGUGCGUAACGCGUGGGAACCUGCCCUUAGGUUCGGAAUAACUCCCCGAAAGGGGUGCUAAUACCGGAUAAUGUCUUCGGACCAAAGAUUUAUCGCCUUUGGAUGGGCCCGCGUUGGAUUAGCUAGUUGGUAGGGUAAAAGCCUACCAAGGGGACGAUCCAUAGCUGGUCUGAGAGGAUGAUCAGCCACACUGGGACUGAGACACGGCCCAGACUCCUACGGGAAGCAGCAGUGGGGAAUAUUGGACAAUGGGCGAAAGCCUGAUCCAGCAAUGCCGCGUGAGUGAUGAAGGCCUUAGGGUUGUAAAGCUCUUUUACACGGGAUGAUAAUGACAGUACCGGGAGAAUAAGCUCCGGCUAACUCCGUG